UUUUUAAUAUAGUAACUGAUUCCUGUAAGCUUUGCAUUAAAAAUGCAGCAGGAGCCUCAAACUGUCAAGGUGGUCUGGAAGAAGGUAUAGAAGUUAUGCAGAAGGGGCUGUCUUUGGAGCAGAAAAAGGAGAUUUUAUUCUUUUUCCUGCAAGAGAGGAAGUGCUAAUUCUUUAUCUUGAGGAAAAGAUGAAAUAAAUCCAAAGUUGGGUGAAGUUGUUGAGAGCUUUCGGAAGAGUACCCUGAGCAGUCAGCCCUCAGAGAGGAAACAGCUGUAUUUGCAGCUCUCAGUUGAGCUUUUUCUUACUAAAAUAUAAAGACUUUUUUUAAUGGUGUACUUCCUUUCCUCUCCCCAUCCAAUCCUGAAGGAAUACUAGAUCUUGCAAGGACUUUUUUCACCCUAAGCUUUUUGAGCAAAUAUGUUUGGAGUUUUUAACUGGUACACAAUUAGCAGUGAAUCAUAAAUGGAUGUGCAAUUUCAGAGGUAUGCAGGGGAGGCCUAAACCUGUUUAAUUUAGCUUAAUAAUGCUGCAAACACAGUUGUGUAUUUUAGAACCUUGUUCUGUGAAAAUGUGUUUUUGUUUGGGAGUUUUCCCAUUACCUUCUUGACAUAUGCAUGGUUACAGAUGAAUAGCCUGACCCAGUGCCCCAGCGGGGAGAGCGGCGUGGCUGUGCUUUCAAUAGGCAUGUCUCUGACAAAGGAAACAUAUGGAAUAUUUCAUUCCCGUCUUUGCAAGGGCAGAGGGCUGGGGGCUUCAAACUUCGUGGUAGAUUGGUAAGCUAGCCACAGUUUUUGCUGUGAGCCCUAAAAAAGCUCUUGCCAAUGGCAUCAUGCUUUGCUGUGGGACCAGAACCCUGGGUGUAGAGCAAAGCUCUUUUGGCAUUGCAGUAUUAGUAAUGUGACCAUGCAGUAGAGUUCACCAUGGUCACCUCUCUUUCUUCUACAUGGUACCGAGCGAUGUCUAGUAGGAAGCAUUCCAGAAGGGGGUUUGGAACUAGAUGAACUUUAAGAUCCCUUCCAACCCAAACCAUUCUAUGAUUCUUGGUGGAUAGUCAUUCAUGAAGUGCUUUCUGAUGAUAUGUACUGUUGACUUACUACCACCAUUUAAUA
This is a long non-coding RNA of Strigops habroptila (Kakapo), 1109 nucleotides long. RefSeq lists it as uncharacterized. Lineage: Eukaryota; Metazoa; Chordata; Aves; Psittaciformes; Psittacidae. The transcript has 2 exons. The record is from RefSeq and is a predicted model, not a curated record.